RNAcentral lists this ribosomal RNA (486 nucleotides) under uncultured bacterium. Its description in RNAcentral is "partial 16S ribosomal RNA". It matches the Rfam family "Bacterial small subunit ribosomal RNA", at positions 30 to 507 of the family's 1533-position model. The record is from RNAcentral.
AUUGAACGCUGGCGGCAUGCCUUACACAUGCAAGUCGAACGGCAGCACGGGUCUUUGCCCCUGGUGGCGAGUGGCGCACGGGUGUGUAACACAUCGGCACACGUCCUGUUGUGGGGGAACGUCCGGCGAAAGCCGGAUUUAUCCCGUAUACGCUCUACGGUUUACAGGGGGAGAUUCUCGCGCCUCGCGCUAACAGGUUGGUCGAUGGCUGAUUAGCGAGUUGGUGGGGUAAAGGCCUACCAAGGCGACGAUCAGUAACUGGUCUGAGAGGAUGACCAGCCACACUGGAACUGAGACACGGCCCAGACUCCUACGGGAGGCAGCAGUGGGGAAUGUUGGACAAUGGGCGAAAGCCUGAUCCAGCCAUGCCGCGUGUGUGAAGAAGGUCUUCGGAUUGUAAAGCACUUUUAGUCGGAAAGAAAGGCAUGAAGUUAAUACGUUCGGGUGAUGACGGUACCAAAAGAAUAAGCACCGGCUAACUACGUG